GUGCUCGCUUUGGCAGCACAUAUACUAAAAUCGGAACAAUACAGAGAAGAUUAGCAUGGCCCCUGCUCAAGGAUGACAUGCAAAUUCGUGAAGCAUUCCAUAUUUUU
This 107-nucleotide small nuclear RNA is filed under the name Myotis davidii. The record is from RNAcentral. Lineage: Eukaryota; Metazoa; Chordata; Mammalia; Chiroptera; Vespertilionidae.